CUGAUUUUGGAUUACCUUUUUCUUAAAGAAAAGAAAAAUCUGUCUUUUGCCACCAGUGCACCACGUAACCCUAACUAAUCAUUAUGGCCAGGUCUGAAUUCUAACCAGUAGCUUCUGAAGGAUCACAUCAUGGAACUGAGAAACGACCUUGUCUUAAAAUCUAAUGUCACGUGGACUCUGCAGAACUCUGAGGGGGAGCCAGCCUGCCCAGAGCCCUCGUAUCUUUUGGUUCAUACAUCGCUAGAGCUCAUUGAAUGGGGAUGGGGAGAGAAACUUUCUCUUCUGGGUUUGCCCCUGCUGCAUCCCAUAUUUCCAUGACCAAGUGGGAGAGAGCCACUUUAACAUCCUCUUCUAGUCCUCCGUUCUGCAUGUCUUCCUUUCCCACUCCUCUAGCAUGUCUAAUACCACCUUUCUUCUUCUGGUGUUAGAAUCUGUGCCUGGAAUCAUGAUCCUCUCCUUUGCUGAGCUAUUUAUGAAACUCAGGGACUUAAUGCUCCAAUCCAGAAUCAGCUCCCGGGACUGCACCUUUGUGCAGAAUGUUAUUGAGGAUUGGUGAGUGGCUUCAUGGAAACCCCGAAUGUUCUAUUCCUACCCAAGCCAAAACAUCCUAGCUAGGUAUUUAGGUCCCAGUAUUGAUCCUGGAAGGCAUCAGUUGUGCCUCUGAUCAUUGAUUCAUCAUUAGGAAGAACUGAACCAAGUCUGAUGGCUUUUUUAAAAGGAGGCUAUAUUAAUGAGAUUUGAGCGUGAGCAAACACUUUCAUUUUCUACUUGGGAAGCAACACACCAGUGCCAGCACUAGCCAUUCGAGAUGAUGCUGCCCCCAGU
Molecule: long non-coding RNA, 825 nt
Filed under: Monodelphis domestica (gray short-tailed opossum)
Lineage: Eukaryota; Metazoa; Chordata; Mammalia; Didelphimorphia; Didelphidae
Description: lncRNA (ENSMODG00000040920.1)
Source: RNAcentral